ACGAACGCUGGCGGCGUGCUUAACACCUGCCAGUCGAACGGAAAGGCCCUGCUUUUGUGGGGUGCUCGAGUGGCGAACGGGUGAGUAACACGUGAGUAACCUGCCCUUGACUUUGGGAUAACUUCAGGAAACUGGGGCUAAUACCGGAUAGGAGCUCCUGCUGCAUGGUGGGGGUUGGAAAGUUUCGGCGGUUGGGGAUGGACUCGCGGCUUAUCAGCUUGUUGGUGGGGUAGUGGCUUACCAAGGCUUUGACGGGUAGCCGGCCUGAGAGGGUGACCGGCCACAUUGGGACUGAGAUACGGCCCAGACUCCUACGGGAGGCAGCAGUGGGGAAUAUUGCACAAUGGGCGGAAGCCUGACGCAGCAACGCCGCGUGCGGGAUGACGGCCUUCGGGUUGUAAACCGCUUUCGCCUGUGACGAAGCGUGAGUGACGGUAAUGGGUAAAGAAGCACCGGCUAACUACGUG
RNAcentral lists this ribosomal RNA (467 nucleotides) under uncultured bacterium. RNAcentral's name for it is "partial 16S ribosomal RNA". It matches the Rfam family "Bacterial small subunit ribosomal RNA", at positions 29 to 507 of the family's 1533-position model. The record is from RNAcentral.